GCCUGGGGGGGCGGUAGUAGACACAUGCGAGUCGAGCGGAUGAAGGAGCUUGCUCCUGGAUUCAGCGGCGGACGGGUGAGUAAUGCCUAGGAAUCUGCCUGGUAGUGGGGGACAACGUUUCGAAAGGAACGCUAAUACCGCAUACGUCCUACGGGAGAAAGCAGGGGACCUUCGGGCCUUGCGCUAUCAGAUGAGCCUAGGUCGGAUUAGCUAGUUGGUGAGGUAAUGGCUCACCAAGGCGACGAUCCGUAACUGGUCUGAGAGGAUGAUCAGUCACACUGGAACUGAGACACGGUCCAGACUCCUACGGGAGGCAGCAGUGGGGAAUAUUGGACAAUGGGCGAAAGCCUGAUCCAGCCAUGCCGCGUGUGUGAAGAAGGUCUUCGGAUUGUAAAGCACUUUAAGUUGGGAGGAAGGGCAGUAAGUUAAUACUUUGCUGUUUUGACGUUACCGACAGAAUAAGCACCGGCUAACUCUGUGCCAGCAGCCGCGGUAAUACAGAGGGUGCAAGCGUUAAUCGGAAUUACUGGGCGUAAAGCGCGCGUAGGUGGUUUGUUAAGUUGGAUGUGAAAUCCCCGGGCUCAACCUGGGAACUGCAUCCAAAACUGGCAAGCUAGAGUAUGGUAUAGGGUGGUGGAAUUUCCUGUGUAGCGGUGAAAUGCGUAGAUAUAGGAAGGAACACCAGUGGCGAAGGCGACCACCAUGCACUGUAUACUGACACUGAGGUGCAAAUCGUGGGGAGCAAACAGGAUUAGAUACCCUGGUAGUCCACGC
Molecule: ribosomal RNA, 774 nt
Filed under: Pseudomonas sp. LS82
Lineage: Bacteria; Pseudomonadati; Pseudomonadota; Gammaproteobacteria; Pseudomonadales; Pseudomonadaceae
Description: bacterial SSU rRNA
Rfam family: Bacterial small subunit ribosomal RNA
Source: RNAcentral